AGGAGGCGGAGGCUGCAGUGAGCCUGGAGACAAAGCGAGACUCCGUCUCAAAAAAACAAACCAACAAACAAACAAAAAAAAAACAAAUCAUUUGGAUGGUUCUGACCUUUUCCUGGAAUUAUUGUUUCGUGUAGUAUUUCCCAACUGGAGCAAUUUUAUAUCCCUCCAACCCCAUCCCCAGGUAACAUUUGCCAAUGUCUAGAAACAUUUUUGGUUAUCAACUUGGGGUAUGCUAUUGACACCUUGUAAGCAGAGAUUAGAGAUGCUGCUAAAUAUCUUACAGUGCACAGGAUAAUCUCCCAUAACAAAAAAAUAUCCAGCUCAAAGUGUUAAAAGUGUUGAGGUGCUUUAAUGAAUAAUUUGCAAGAGAAAUUUGAACUCUAAAGUAAUAGUUAUUAGAAAGAUCAAGCAUGUUUACUGAUUGACUUCAUGGGGGAGAUUUCCCAUACAUUUUAGUCUUGUUCUCUUGACCUCGUGACCCACCCACCUCGGUCUCCCAAAGUCCUGGGAUUACAGGCGUGAGCCACCGCGCCCAACCUUGAUGGCAUUUAAACAACCUUCUUAAAUUCUUUUUAGAAGCACUUAUAAUUUUAAAGAUGUAAUAUGAUCAAACACCUUUUUAGUCAUAGAGUAAUCCAUUCAGAAGCCUAGUUUGUUUGUAUUAGUAAAUUGGUGAAUUUCUAUCACCUAGUCAUUGUAAAUAUCUAUUUUUUUCCCAUUUGAGUUUGGAAUGUGCCUUUAAAUGUUUAGCAAUUAAUUUUAAUGAAGUUAUAUAGAGGGCUGUUGCAAGUCCUCUGCCUUCUGCAUCUCUUCUUAGGAAUAUUAUCUCUGUUUAAGUCCAUAUUCUUCAAAGGUAUUUUUUUUUUCCAGUUUGAAUAAAAGUGAAGUUUCUCUUAUGGAGGAUGCUUUGGAGCACUGUUGGUAUAUAAAAUAAAUUUACUCUUGACCAUAAAUUAAAUGGUAGUCUAAUGGAAAAAUAACAUAUUAUCCGAUAGAGUUGUAAAUAAAAUGUAGUACAGACACAGAGUGGGGAGUAAUUUAAUUCCAUUUAUGAAGAUCCAGGGCUUUAUGUAGUUUGGUAUGGUUAUAUUAUAGGGAUGCUCCUUAGUAGUUUGGUAUGUCAUGAUGAGAAAUGAUUCCUGAAAAGCGUAGGGCUAUAGAAUGAAAUAGCAGAAUGAUAUUCCUAAGUUUCUAUAUUAUCUUGAGGUCAUGGAGUGACUGUUGUCUAAGUAUUGAGUGAGAUAAAAUAACAAGUUUUGGAAAAUAAGGAUUUUGGAAAAACUAACCAAGUAAUGUUAUUGAAAGGUUGCUUGAAAUGAAAAGAUAUAUCUGUAUGAAAGGAGAUCAGUUUGGACAUGUUUGAAGAGCUCAUGCAAAAUGAUGUGAGGCUGACACUAGGAAAUUAGAAGCAGCAGGGAUGUAUGAAUGUUACAGAUGCUGUGGAAUGUAUUUUGAAGAACUUUGCAGUCAGUUGAAUAGUAAAGUAGGGGAAUAAAAGGAGAGUUUAAGGCCAAGCAUAUUUAGUUCAUGAGAUGUAAAGAUGAGAAAGAAUAGGUUUGAAGGUAUCUCUAUCAUUUUUUUUUCUUCCUACCAUUCUUUUUACCCACUUUAGGCUAAAUCUUACCAAACUUAAUUUUUCUGAUUUUUUUAAAGUAGCAUUUCUAAAUGGAAGUACUUUGAUUCCUUAUGAAAGUAAGGUCUUGCUAAAUAAGGAACAUCUGACUAAUUAAUAAUGGCAUAUCCACUAAAAUAAGCAAAGGAAAUCUAUAUAGGCUGAUAUAGGAAGAUCUCUAGAUAGAUUAGGAACAAAGUACAUAUGUGCAAACAUAAAUGCUGGCAUAUAGAUAGGGUUUUUUCUACCUUAAUUUGAUGAUAGAAAUAGUCUGUUAUCUUGAAGGAGAGAGAUUGAAAUACUUAGGCUUUUCAUCGAUCUCUUUUUAUACUACGUGACUUUAGCUAUGUGUAUGUUAUGUGAGUACAUUGUAAAAAUGUGAAUUCAGUUUGAGGUGCCUGCUGAGAGAUUUCAUCAGGCAGUUGGGAUCAUGUCUGAAAUUUAAUAGAGGGGACUGUUAAUAACCCAGUUAGAGUAAAUAUACAACGCAAAAGGACAAGAAUGCAUCAGUAGAAAUAAAGAACUAGUUGAUUUAUAAUAGAGGAAUGCUUACAGGUGUGUGCCUUUAUAGAAAAUUACAGUAGGAGAAAUUCAGAGCUUUGUUUUACUUAUGUUAAGUGAAACUCCAUUUUCUGUUUGGUGUAAGUAAGUGUUUCCAUUAAUUGCUGUUGAAAGGUGGCACUGUCCAUAAUAGUGGGUUAGUGAAAGAGAGCAAUACUCUUGAUUUUUAUUUUUUCUUUUUUUAAGAGAGAGGAUCUUGCUCUGUUACCCAGGCUAUGGUGCAGUGGCAUGAUCAUGGCUCACUGCAGCCUUGAACUCCUGGGCUCAAGCGAUCCAUCCUCCUUAGCCUCCCAAGAAGCCAAGACUACAGGCAUGCAACAACACUGCUCGGCUAAUUGAAAACAUUUUUUUUUUUUGGUAGAGACAGGAUCUCGCUAUGUUGUUCAGGCUGGUCUUGAACUCCUGGUCUUCAGUGGUGCUACUACUUCAGCCUCUCAAAGCACUGGGAUUACAGGUGUGAGCCACUGCACCAGGCCCUCUUGAUAUUUCUAAUCAGCAGUUUUAGGUGGUAACAGCUACUUAACCAGUAUAGAGUAACAGAAUUUAUCAUUUCAAAGUAUUUUUUUAUUCUUAGACUUUGAUGUGCAGCAGUUUUAUGUUUAACUUUCAAAAGACUUUUUAAAAAGUGAAAUUCCUUUUCUAAUUUGUUAGAAUUUACUUGCAGGGAAGGAGAGGUUGGAGUGGAACAUAGCAUAAUCCAUAUGUAAGACAUUUGUGGCAAAUAUUUAUCCUUCUUUGGUUUCUGAUUCUUUUUAGUUUCUCUGUUAGUUAAUGAUAGCAUGUAUUUCAGGAUAGAGGCUAAGAAUUGUAUAAAUUUUAAAGAUAGGGAAAUUUCUGGCAAGAAACAUAUCUUUUUUCAAGGGUUUAGCGGUCAGUUUUAGAACAAUUUAUCAUUGUUUAAUCUGCUAUUCUGAUUCAGAGGGAAACCUUUCUAAACCCUGAGCAAAGAAAGUACUAUAUUUGAGCAUAGUUCUUUACAUGUUUUAUUCUCUAGCCAAAGUAUAUCAGGAUAUCUUAACUAUGAUGUUCAUCAAUAGAACUAACUCCUAUGUUGUAAUUAGUAAUGUACCAGAUAUGUAUGUAUAGUUACAGAAUGCAUUAUUAGAUCUCUAAAAGGUAGUUCUGAAUGCCUUUGUUUCACAGAAAGUCUGUGAUGAAAUAAACUUGUUUUGUUUUUACUGUAGUCUAAAUCUUUUAAGUCUUAUUUGCUGUUUUAUUUUAAUACAAUAAAGCUUUCCUUUUGACAGUGACCUUGACUCAGUUUAAGGAUUGAUUCUGAAUGUGGGAGAUCGUAAUAGAAAAAAUACCCUUUAAAAAGUGGUAGAUUGGCCGGGCGUGGUGGCUCACACCUGUAAUCCCAGCACUUUGGGAGGC
Long non-coding RNA from Sapajus apella (tufted capuchin), 3547 nucleotides. RefSeq lists it as uncharacterized. The record is from RefSeq and is a predicted model, not a curated record. The transcript is spliced from 2 exons. NCBI's taxonomy places the organism in Eukaryota, Metazoa, Chordata, Mammalia, Primates, Cebidae.